RNAcentral lists this ribosomal RNA (406 nucleotides) under uncultured bacterium. Its description in RNAcentral is "partial 16S ribosomal RNA". It matches the Rfam family "Bacterial small subunit ribosomal RNA", at positions 29 to 526 of the family's 1533-position model. The record is from RNAcentral.
AUUGAACGCUGGCGGCAGGCCUAACACAUGCAAGUCGAACGAGUGGCGGACGGGUGAGUAAUGUCUGGGAAACUGCCCGAUGGAGGGGGAUAACUACUGGAAACGGUAGCUAAUACCGCAUACCCUCGGAUGUGCCCCGAUGGGAUUAGCUAGUAGGUGGGGUAACGGCUCACCUAGGCGACGAUCCCUAGCUGGUCUGAGAGGAUGACCAGGCACACUGGAACUGAGACACGGUCACGACUCCUACGGGAGGCAGCAGUGGGGAAUAUUGCACAAGGGGCGCAAGCCUGAUGCAGCCAUGCCGCGUGUAUGAAGAAGGCCUUCGGGUGGUAAGGUACUUUCAGCGAGGAGGCGUUACUCGCAGAAGAAGCACAGGCUAACGCCGGGCCAGCAGCCGCGGUAAUUC